RNAcentral lists this ribosomal RNA (254 nucleotides) under uncultured bacterium. RNAcentral describes it as "partial 16S ribosomal RNA". It matches the Rfam family "Bacterial small subunit ribosomal RNA", at positions 524 to 776 of the family's 1533-position model. The record is from RNAcentral.
UACGUAGGGUGCGAGCGUUGUCCGGAAUUAUUGGGCGUAAAGAGCUCGUAGGCGGUGUGUCACGUCGGCCGUGAAAACCUGGGGCUUAACUCUGGGCGUGCGGUCGAUACGGGCAUCACUAGAGUUCGGCAGGGGAGACUGGAAUUCCUGGUGUAGCGGUGAAAUGCGCAGAUAUCAGGAGGAACACCAACAGCGAAGGCAGAUCUCUGGGACGUUACUGACGCUGAGACGCGAAAGCGUGGGGAGCAAACAGG